UACGUAGGUGACCAGCGUUGUCCGGAUUUACUGGGCGUAAAGAGCGCGCAGGCGGUCGUUCAAGUCGAGUGUGAAAGCCCCCGGCUCAACUGAGGAGGGUCAUUCGAUACUGAUCGACUGGAAGGCAGGAGAGGGAAGCGGAAUUCCCGGUGUAGUGGUGAAAUGCGUAGAUAUCGGGAGGAACACCAGUGGCGAAGGCGGCUUCCUGGCCUGUUCUUGACGCUGAGGCGCGAAAGCUAGGGGAGCAAACGGG
Molecule: ribosomal RNA, 253 nt
Filed under: uncultured bacterium
Lineage: Bacteria
Description: partial 16S ribosomal RNA
Rfam family: Bacterial small subunit ribosomal RNA
Source: RNAcentral